RNAcentral lists this ribosomal RNA (484 nucleotides) under uncultured bacterium. RNAcentral describes it as "bacterial SSU rRNA". It matches the Rfam family "Bacterial small subunit ribosomal RNA", at positions 23 to 487 of the family's 1533-position model. The record is from RNAcentral.
CUCAGAUUGAACGCUGGCGGCAGGCCUAACACAUGCAAGUCGAGCGGAAACGACACUAACAAUCCUUCGGGUGCGUUAAUGGGCGUCGAGCGGCGGACGGGUGAGUAAUGCCUAGGAAAUUGCCUUGAUGUGGGGGAUAACCAUUGGAAACGAUGGCUAAUACCGCAUAAUGCCUACGGGCCAAAGAGGGGGAUCUUCGGACCUCUCGCGUCAAGAUAUGCCUAGGUGGGAUUAGCUAGUUGGUGAGGUAAUGGCUCACCAAGGCGACGAUCCCUAGCUGGUCUGAGAGGAUGAUCAGCCACACUGGAACUGAGACACGGUCCAGACUCCUACGGGAGGCAGCAGUGGGGAAUAUUGCACAAUGGGCGAAAGCCUGAUGCAGCCAUGCCGCGUGUAUGAAGAAGGCCUUCGGGUUGUAAAGUACUUUCAGUUGUGAGGAAGGGGUAACGUUAAUAGCGUUAUCUCUUGACGUUAGCAACAGAAU